AGUGUACAUAUAUAUUUAUACAUUAUAUAUAUAUUACAUUCCAUAAAUUGAUAUUUUGAUAAAAAGCAUUAAAUUGAACGGCAUAAUAUUUGAUAAACGAUGGAUUAUCCUGAUUAGUAAUUAGUGAUGUGUGGAUGUUAUCGGAAAUCACAUUGCCAUCAAGGAUUUUGACAGCUCAAAGGAUGUUAAGAAUCGUUUUGAUGAUAAUCCGAGGUUUUUUGAACACCCAUUACAAGCGGCAGAAAGUGAGCUUCGAUGAUAGCUUCCUGGGGGACGAAGGUCAGGAGAUAUUCAGUGAGAUGACCUUGUCUCUGAAGAGGACAUCCCUGGCGGUAGUGCUGAAAAAUUGAGCUUGGAAGAAUGACGAUCAGAACCUGAAGCACGAGGUUAUCGAUGAAUUAUCGACUAUCAACGGGCCAAGAGGUAUUCAAACCACCCUGAGUAGCUGGAGUUCUACUCGGCGGUGAGGAGGAGUCCUCAGGGCCUUUUCAGGUGAACAAAGUCCCAGAUGAUCCUCUGAGUGAGGAGGAAUUAGAGGGGGUCGACAUUUGCGUCAAGAAGGGACCGUCUAAUGAGUUCAUGGGGAUUUAUGAGAAAAAUAAUUCUUUAGAGCCAUUCUCUCUGCCGAUGAGAUCCUCUGCCGAUGAGGAACAGAACAGCGAAGGUAAAGGUGGUAUUUUCACGAAGAAGAGAGCUUUUUCGUGGAGAAAAAUCCGAGCCACAAAAAAGAAACAAUCUGAGAUGGUGGACACGAGUGCUACAUACACGAGAUGGAUUUAUUAGAUCGCUCGUCCACACAAAAUCAAUUGAUUGAAUUAUUCCAACUCAACAAUAUGACAGCGUGUAUUUGAAUUGAGAUUCAAGUUUUUUCAUUUGUACAAUAGUGUUAGAAGUUCCAAUCAAUCGUAUGUAGCGGGUAAUUAAAUGUUAUUCUUGAAAAAUAAUGAUUUUAGAAAAGUCGGCGUCCAUUUUAUUCAGGUGAAAGGUCUUCUAUAAAUUCUUUCAACGUCUCUCAUCAGCAAAUAAUCAUACAAUAAACUAAAUGAGUUUGAUACAAUGUAUAAAAAACCUCCCAUCUCUGAAUCAUACCAACAAA
Fopius arisanus is the source of this 1096-nucleotide long non-coding RNA. RefSeq lists it as uncharacterized. Lineage: Eukaryota; Metazoa; Arthropoda; Insecta; Hymenoptera; Braconidae. The transcript has 3 exons. The record is from RefSeq and is a predicted model, not a curated record.